This 245-nucleotide ribosomal RNA is filed under the name uncultured bacterium. Its description in RNAcentral is "partial 16S ribosomal RNA". It matches the Rfam family "Bacterial small subunit ribosomal RNA", at positions 524 to 768 of the family's 1533-position model. The record is from RNAcentral.
UACGUAGGGUGCGAGCGUUGUCCGGAAUUAUUGGGCGUAAAGAGCUUGUAGGCGGUUUGUCGCGUCUGCUGUGAAAAUCCGGGGCUCAACCCCGGACUUGCAGUGGGUACGGGCAGACUAGUGUGUGGUAGGGGAGACUGGGAUUCCUGGUGUAGCGGUGAAAUGCGCAGAUAUCAGGAGGAACACCGAUGGCGAAGGCAGGUCUCUGGGCCACUACUGACGCUGAGAAGCGAAAGCAUGGGGAG